Long non-coding RNA from Pan troglodytes (chimpanzee), 2338 nucleotides. RefSeq lists it as uncharacterized. Lineage: Eukaryota; Metazoa; Chordata; Mammalia; Primates; Hominidae. The transcript is spliced from 3 exons. The record is from RefSeq and is a predicted model, not a curated record.
AGAUAUGAGCCCAUUAAAAACCAGGAGGAAAGGAAUAAAAUGCUUAAUAAAAUCUUUAAGUACCUGAGUGGAGGACCUCUCUAAGCUGAAAAGCAAGGAAAUGACAUCAAGAAGAGAAAGGCCAACAGCGAACAGGGAUAAGUGAUGGCCUGUGUCCCAAGUGGCCUGGAGUGGACGGCACUAGAUGGACAGAUAGGGGCUUAGCCUUGGAUAGCAAGCAUGCAACGACCCACCCACCCAAACCUGGGAGGCUUAGCACUCGGCAGGUGACCUCAUCUGUUCUCAAGCCAUCACUGGGAGGUACUCAAUAAAUAUUUGCUGGGGUGAAAUAACUGAAAUGGGAAAUUAGAUCAAAGAGGAAAAAUACCAGCAUUAAGCUAUUGAUGAUACAAGAAGUGUCCAGGUGCUGUGGCUCACGCCUAUAAUCCCAGCACUUUGGGAGGCCAAGGCGGGUGGAUCACCUGAGGCCAGGAGUUCGAGACUAGCCUGGCCAACAUGGCAAAACCCCAUCUCUACUAAAAAUACAAAAAAUUAGCUGGGCAUGGUGGCAUGCACCUGUAACCCCAGCUACUCGGGUGACUGAGGCAUACGAAUCGCUUAAACCCGGGAGGCGGAGCUGCAGUGAGCCGAGAUCAUGCUGCUGCACUCCAGCCUCAGUGGCAGAGCGAGACCCUGUCUCAAAAAAAAAAAAAAAAAAAAAAGAUGAUAGAGGAAGGCCAGGAACCACCCUUGGCUAGUUAACUUGGGCUGCCUGGAGUAUUGAGAAUUGACACCUACAUGGUGGCCAGUACUAGGAUGACCAACCUCUCCUAUGGGCACAGUUCUGUACAGUUUACAAGGGUUUUUUUUUUCUUUUUUUUUUUUUUUUUUCGGUGGGGGCGGGUCUCACAUACUCAUGGUAUUACCCAUUUAGGGUCUUGAGGUUUGAGGACCCUAUGUAGACUUACCCUCAGUCUGUUGGGUGAGUUUGCUUCUAUCAUCUUGGAUUCUUGAUUAUCCCUAUUUUUUAGAGGAGAGGACAAACUUCAGUUCUUCCAGAAAGAACUGGCAAAAAUAGGCCUGUACUCCUCUGACUUCACUGUCUUCUUUACACACCAUGCCACUUUCCUGAACAAUAUACAAGUUUACCAUGUAAUUAUUUUAGAACCCAGGGUCCAAAUAUUUUUGUGGUCAAGAUUCGACGGGCAAAGUCCUCACACUGAGUUUUCCCAGCAAGGAUGCUUUCCACUCACUUGCUGGAUGGCUGUGGGUCACCUCCCCUCACUGGGCUUUGGUUUCCCCAUCUGUGAAAUGAGGUAGUUGGAUUAGAUAAUUCCACAGUUCCCUUCCAGCUCUAGCAUUACCCUCAGAUACCUUGAACAAGGAGGAUGGGGACCCCAGGUUCUGGGUCAAGAACUCAUCUUGCAGCAUGGAGGAAUCGUGAUGAUGGCUGCAGCCCCCAGAAGAUGAACUUGGCAGGAGCUGGCUGAGAUGAUUUUUCUGCUGAUGGUGAAAUGUGCUGGCAGAGUCUAUACAGCCACUUUUAGGUGAUAUAUUACGUUCUGGUGAAAGCAUUCUUCCUAAUACAAGCUGAGAGCUUACAGCUAGGAGACAACCUCCAGGAGCAGAGAUCACACACUCUCGGGCAGAAAAACAGCUUCUGUAUUCUUCCCUGUUUACCAUUCUGGCAUCAAUUUCAAGUGCUCAGUCCCUCAAGCUCUUUCCUCUUUACAAAAGCCCGGCUACUGCAACAAAGCAUCCUGUCUGCUGUAAGUUUCAAGAGACUCUUUGAAACUACUGACCAUCUUUCUCACUGCAUUCAUGCUGCAACAACCCAAAUCCUGCAAAGCUCUGACUGAAUCAGGAAAAAGUGACCUUGGUAGCUAGUCUCCAAAGAUGGCCACCACCAAUACUUGCCUUCCUGCGAUAUAUAUCAUACUCCUUGUAUCAGGAAGAGAAGUGUAAUUCCCUCCCCAUGAAUCUAGGCUGGCCUUAGUGACUUUCUUGGCCAAUAGAAUAUAGCAGAAGGCACAUUCUGGGAUUUGUAAGACUAGGUCUCAGGAAGCCUUAUGGCCUCUGCCAGGCCUCUUGCAAUGCUUGGCGUUGGAACACUCCCUCCUACAAGCCAGCUGCCAUGCUAUGAGAAGUGCAGGUCCUGUGGUAAAUCCACAUGUGGUCACUCCAGUCAACAGUCUCAGCAAGCCCCCAGCUGACUGUCAACUAUGUGAAUGAGCCUGCAGAUGACUCCAGCCCCAGCUGCCAUCUGACUGCAGCUGCAUGAAACACUUAAGCAAGAACCACCUUGCUGAGCCCUAUCAACCCCGGAACCAUGAGGAAUAAUAAACUGUUUUUGUUGUUG